Molecule: ribosomal RNA, 380 nt
Filed under: uncultured eukaryote
Lineage: Eukaryota
Description: partial 18S ribosomal RNA
Rfam family: Eukaryotic small subunit ribosomal RNA
Source: RNAcentral
CAAUAGCGUAUAUUAAAGUUGUUGCGGUUAAAAAGCUCGUAGUUGGAUUUCUGCUGAGAACGACCGGUCCGCCCUCUGGGUGUGUAUCUGGCUCUUUCUUGGCAUCUUCUUGGUGAACGUUGCUGCACUUGACUGUGUGGAGCGCUACCCAGGACUUUUACUUUGAGGAAAUUAGAGUGUUUCAAGCAGGCAUACGCCUUGAAUACAUUAGCAUGGAAUAAUAAGAUAGGACCUCGGUUCUAUUUUGUUGGUUUCUAGAGCUGAGGUAAUGAUUAAUAGGGAUAGUUGGGGGCAUUCGUAUUUAACUGUCAGAGGUGAAAUUCUUGGAUUUGUUAAAGGCGGACUACUGCGAAAGCAUUUGCCAAGGAUGUUUNCAUUGA